CAUACAAAUAUAAAAAAGAUAGAAACCAGUUGGCUCCUGGCUAAAGAGGUCAGAAACAUUUAUCAUGAUUUUAAUAAAAAUAUUCUAGUCAGUUUUACCAUAAUUCACCAAUCAGAAGUUGAUACAACAACUCCGGAAAACCUUUACACCUGCCCGAGACAGGCAUGCGUAAACGCCAAUCAUAGAAAAUAAUGACAAGUUGGUUAUAAACCGAAGCCGUGUGAAGUUGUGUUGUGUUUUUCUUUUAAAAACUUUGAUAUUUAUCCAAUUUCAUUUUAAGAAGUUUUUAGUGGUCGUGCGUUUUUCUCUUGACGUUUCGGUCCCUCCCACGCGGUGCUGUUUUUGACAGUCGGUAGUCGCGGUCGAGUAACAAGACUCAGGCACGUUAACUAGCCAUUUAACUGCAUUAGCUAGCUAGCUUGUCAGUGACAGGGUGCUAAAGAUACAAUUCGUUAUUUAUGCAAACGGUUGUGUGACAGGGAUUACAUUGCUGGAGGGAUUAAAUGAUAAACCUGAGCAUUUUGUUUACAGACUAUGAACCGACGUUACACUACAUAACGUUCAAAAGCUGCUCCGUGUCUUCUCUGUGGCUUCGUUGUAUAGAGCUACAAUAGGCUAGCUAAUUAGCCUGCCAAGAGGCUGCAGUAGCUCUGAAGCUAUCUGGCUAGGUAGUAACGUUAUUGUUUUAUGGUGCGCGGCAGACCACAGCAGCUCUGCUCUAUGUGUGAAGCAGUCGACCACCAGCGACCUUUGGGAAGUGGAAAUUGUCUUUUUGUCUUAAUUGCAUGAGCGCGCACUGAAAAGGAUAGCUGGGGGCCCAUUUAUGCACUACCCAACAGUUUUUGAAAGGGAAUAUGUCAGGUAAGCUUCACUCGUGACUAAUGGUUGAACAUGUUCAUGAGCAAUUCGAAAGCUUCAGAGAUGGCAGACAGUUCUCCGCCAUUUUUAGCGAGUAGCUGUUGCUACCAAAGAGCAGCGCCAAAUGCACUCCUCUUCAGUUAUGCAGUAUUAACAUGAAUAUCUGAUUUUCUGCGUAAUGGAAAUGUUCAUCAAACUCCGCUAUUGGCUCUGGGAAGCGAGAGUGUGAUGCAGUUGCCAUAGACCAGAAUGUGUUUGGGUGUGAUUUUUUUUUUUUCCACAAGACUACCUGCAGUCUUUGUUGUUUGCUAAAAAUAACCAGGAGAGGGAGAGAUGUGUGCAUUUGGCACCAAUGGAUUCUAUAGAGCUGUGAGAAGGGAGAGAUCAGAUGGUGUCAUUAUUGGGUCUGCUUGGUUUGUUUGCCAGGGAUCGGUGUCUUGUGCUGCGGUCUGAAUCUCUGUUUGCAGCAGCAGUAGCAGCAGAAUGUUUUUUUUAUUUUUUUUUCUUCUAGCG
This is a long non-coding RNA of Clupea harengus (Atlantic herring), 1371 nucleotides long. Lineage: Eukaryota; Metazoa; Chordata; Actinopteri; Clupeiformes; Clupeidae. The record is from Ensembl.